This 215-nucleotide ribosomal RNA is filed under the name Pneumocystis wakefieldiae. Its description in RNAcentral is "partial large subunit ribosomal RNA". It matches the Rfam family "Bacterial large subunit ribosomal RNA", at positions 829 to 1020 of the family's 2925-position model. Lineage: Eukaryota; Fungi; Ascomycota; Pneumocystomycetes; Pneumocystales; Pneumocystaceae. The record is from RNAcentral.
CAAAUCGGACUAGGAUAUAGCUGGUUUUCUGCGAAAUCUAUUUAGGUAGAUAGCUUAAUAAGGAUGUUUAUUAGUGGGUAUAGCACUGAAUAUCUAAUAUUAUUUGAAGGGAGUAUGAAAGUACUUACUUUGGAUAUUUAAUCUCAGAAUAACUAAUAGAUGAAAGAUGAUUAAGUUGUCAGACUUUUUGCGAUAAGGUGGGAAGUCAAGAGGAA